RNAcentral lists this ribosomal RNA (845 nucleotides) under Metapseudomonas resinovorans. RNAcentral's name for it is "bacterial SSU rRNA". It matches the Rfam family "Bacterial small subunit ribosomal RNA", at positions 94 to 934 of the family's 1533-position model. Lineage: Bacteria; Pseudomonadati; Pseudomonadota; Gammaproteobacteria; Pseudomonadales; Pseudomonadaceae. The record is from RNAcentral.
AGCGGCGGACGGGUGAGUAAUGCCUAGGAAUCUGCCUGGUAGUGGGGGAUAACGUUCGGAAACGGGCGCUAAUACCGCAUACGUCCUACGGGAGAAAGUGGGGGAUCUUCGGACCUCACGCUAUCAGAUGAGCCUAGGUCGGAUUAGCUAGUUGGUGGGGUAAUGGCUCACCAAGGCGACGAUCCGUAACUGGUCUGAGAGGAUGAUCAGUCACACUGGAACUGAGACACGGUCCAGACUCCUACGGGAGGCAGCAGUGGGGAAUAUUGGACAAUGGGCGAAAGCCUGAUCCAGCCAUGCCGCGUGUGUGAAGAAGGUCUUCGGAUUGUAAAGCACUUUAAGUUGGGAGGAAGGGCAGUAAGUUAAUACCUUGCUGUUUUGACGUUACCAACAGAAUAAGCACCGGCUAACUUCGUGCCAGCAGCCGCGGUAAUACGAAGGGUGCAAGCGUUAAUCGGAAUUACUGGGCGUAAAGCGCGCGUAGGUGGUUCAGCAAGUUGGAGGUGAAAUCCCCGGGCUCAACCUGGGAACUGCCUCCAAAACUACUGAGCUAGAGUACGGUAGAGGGUAGUGGAAUUUCCUGUGUAGCGGUGAAAUGCGUAGAUAUAGGAAGGAACACCAGUGGCGAAGGCGACUACCUGGACUGAUACUGACACUGAGGUGCGAAAGCGUGGGGAGCAAACAGGAUUAGAUACCCUGGUAGUCCACGCCGUAAAACGAUGUCGACUAGCCGUUGGGAUCCUUGAGAUCUUAGUGGCGCAGCUAACGCGAUAAGUCGACCGCCUGGGGAGUACGGCCGCAAGGUUAAAACUCAAAUGAAUUGACGGGGGCCCGCACAAGCGGUG